Molecule: long non-coding RNA, 5318 nt
Filed under: Homo sapiens (human)
Lineage: Eukaryota; Metazoa; Chordata; Mammalia; Primates; Hominidae
Description: HSALNT0363309
Rfam family: Metastasis associated lung adenocarcinoma transcript 1 (bases 3739-3833)
Source: RNAcentral
UAUAAAUACGCCUCGCCCGAGCUGUGCGGUAGGCAUUGAGGCAGCCAGCGCAGGGGCUUCUGCUGAGGGGGCAGGCGGAGCUUGAGGAAACCGCAGAUAAGUUUUUUUCUCUUUGAAAGAUAGAGAUUAAUACAACUACUUAAAAAAUAUAGUCAAUAGGUUACUAAGAUAUUGCUUAGCGUUAAGUUUUUAACGUAAUUUUAAUAGCUUAAGAUUUUAAGAGAAAAUAUGAAGACUUAGAAGAGUAGCAUGAGGAAGGAAAAGAUAAAAGGUUUCUAAAACAUGACGGAGGUUGAGAUGAAGCUUCUUCAUGGAGUAAAAAAUGUAUUUAAAAGAAAAUUGAGAGAAAGGACUACAGAGCCCCGAAUUAAUACCAAUAGAAGGGCAAUGCUUUUAGAUUAAAAUGAAGGUGACUUAAACAGCUUAAAGUUUAGUUUAAAAGUUGUAGGUGAUUAAAAUAAUUUGAAGGCGAUCUUUUAAAAAGAGAUUAAACCGAAGGUGAUUAAAAGACCUUGAAAUCCAUGACGCAGGGAGAAUUGCGUCAUUUAAAGCCUAGUUAACGCAUUUACUAAACGCAGACGAAAAUGGAAAGAUUAAUUGGGAGUGGUAGGAUGAAACAAUUUGGAGAAGAUAGAAGUUUGAAGUGGAAAACUGGAAGACAGAAGUACGGGAAGGCGAAGAAAAGAAUAGAGAAGAUAGGGAAAUUAGAAGAUAAAAACAUACUUUUAGAAGAAAAAAGAUAAAUUUAAACCUGAAAAGUAGGAAGCAGAAGAAAAAAGACAAGCUAGGAAACAAAAAGCUAAGGGCAAAAUGUACAAACUUAGAAGAAAAUUGGAAGAUAGAAACAAGAUAGAAAAUGAAAAUAUUGUCAAGAGUUUCAGAUAGAAAAUGAAAAACAAGCUAAGACAAGUAUUGGAGAAGUAUAGAAGAUAGAAAAAUAUAAAGCCAAAAAUUGGAUAAAAUAGCACUGAAAAAAUGAGGAAAUUAUUGGUAACCAAUUUAUUUUAAAAGCCCAUCAAUUUAAUUUCUGGUGGUGCAGAAGUUAGAAGGUAAAGCUUGAGAAGAUGAGGGUGUUUACGUAGACCAGAACCAAUUUAGAAGAAUACUUGAAGCUAGAAGGGGAAGUUGGUUAAAAAUCACAUCAAAAAGCUACUAAAAGGACUGGUGUAAUUUAAAAAAAACUAAGGCAGAAGGCUUUUGGAAGAGUUAGAAGAAUUUGGAAGGCCUUAAAUAUAGUAGCUUAGUUUGAAAAAUGUGAAGGACUUUCGUAACGGAAGUAAUUCAAGAUCAAGAGUAAUUACCAACUUAAUGUUUUUGCAUUGGACUUUGAGUUAAGAUUAUUUUUUAAAUCCUGAGGACUAGCAUUAAUUGACAGCUGACCCAGGUGCUACACAGAAGUGGAUUCAGUGAAUCUAGGAAGACAGCAGCAGACAGGAUUCCAGGAACCAGUGUUUGAUGAAGCUAGGACUGAGGAGCAAGCGAGCAAGCAGCAGUUCGUGGUGAAGAUAGGAAAAGAGUCCAGGAGCCAGUGCGAUUUGGUGAAGGAAGCUAGGAAGAAGGAAGGAGCGCUAACGAUUUGGUGGUGAAGCUAGGAAAAAGGAUUCCAGGAAGGAGCGAGUGCAAUUUGGUGAUGAAGGUAGCAGGCGGCUUGGCUUGGCAACCACACGGAGGAGGCGAGCAGGCGUUGUGCGUAGAGGAUCCUAGACCAGCAUGCCAGUGUGCCAAGGCCACAGGGAAAGCGAGUGGUUGGUAAAAAUCCGUGAGGUCGGCAAUAUGUUGUUUUUCUGGAACUUACUUAUGGUAACCUUUUAUUUAUUUUCUAAUAUAAUGGGGGAGUUUCGUACUGAGGUGUAAAGGGAUUUAUAUGGGGACGUAGGCCGAUUUCCGGGUGUUGUAGGUUUCUCUUUUUCAGGCUUAUACUCAUGAAUCUUGUCUGAAGCUUUUGAGGGCAGACUGCCAAGUCCUGGAGAAAUAGUAGAUGGCAAGUUUGUGGGUUUUUUUUUUUUACACGAAUUUGAGGAAAACCAAAUGAAUUUGAUAGCCAAAUUGAGACAAUUUCAGCAAAUCUGUAAGCAGUUUGUAUGUUUAGUUGGGGUAAUGAAGUAUUUCAGUUUUGUGAAUAGAUGACCUGUUUUUACUUCCUCACCCUGAAUUCGUUUUGUAAAUGUAGAGUUUGGAUGUGUAACUGAGGCGGGGGGGAGUUUUCAGUAUUUUUUUUUGUGGGGGUGGGGGCAAAAUAUGUUUUCAGUUCUUUUUCCCUUAGGUCUGUCUAGAAUCCUAAAGGCAAAUGACUCAAGGUGUAACAGAAAACAAGAAAAUCCAAUAUCAGGAUAAUCAGACCACCACAGGUUUACAGUUUAUAGAAACUAGAGCAGUUCUCACGUUGAGGUCUGUGGAAGAGAUGUCCAUUGGAGAAAUGGCUGGUAGUUACUCUUUUUUCCCCCCACCCCCUUAAUCAGACUUUAAAAGUGCUUAACCCCUUAAACUUGUUAUUUUUUACUUGAAGCAUUUUGGGAUGGUCUUAACAGGGAAGAGAGAGGGUGGGGGAGAAAAUGUUUUUUUCUAAGAUUUUCCACAGAUGCUAUAGUACUAUUGACAAACUGGGUUAGAGAAGGAGUGUACCGCUGUGCUGUUGGCACGAACACCUUCAGGGACUGGAGCUGCUUUUAUCCUUGGAAGAGUAUUCCCAGUUGAAGCUGAAAAGUACAGCACAGUGCAGCUUUGGUUCAUAUUCAGUCAUCUCAGGAGAACUUCAGAAGAGCUUGAGUAGGCCAAAUGUUGAAGUUAAGUUUUCCAAUAAUGUGACUUCUUAAAAGUUUUAUUAAAGGGGAGGGGCAAAUAUUGGCAAUUAGUUGGCAGUGGCCUGUUACGGUUGGGAUUGGUGGGGUGGGUUUAGGUAAUUGUUUAGUUUAUGAUUGCAGAUAAACUCAUGCCAGAGAACUUAAAGUCUUAGAAUGGAAAAAGUAAAGAAAUAUCAACUUCCAAGUUGGCAAGUAACUCCCAAUGAUUUAGUUUUUUUCCCCCCAGUUUGAAUUGGGAAGCUGGGGGAAGUUAAAUAUGAGCCACUGGGUGUACCAGUGCAUUAAUUUGGGCAAGGAAAGUGUCAUAAUUUGAUACUGUAUCUGUUUUCCUUCAAAGUAUAGAGCUUUUGGGGAAGGAAAGUAUUGAACUGGGGGUUGGUCUGGCCUACUGGGCUGACAUUAACUACAAUUAUGGGAAAUGCAAAAGUUGUUUGGAUAUGGUAGUGUGUGGUUCUCUUUUGGAAUUUUUUUCAGGUGAUUUAAUAAUAAUUUAAAACUACUAUAGAAACUGCAGAGCAAAGGAAGUGGCUUAAUGAUCCUGAAGGGAUUUCUUCUGAUGGUAGCUUUUGUAUUAUCAAGUAAGAUUCUAUUUUCAGUUGUGUGUAAGCAAGUUUUUUUUUAGUGUAGGAGAAAUACUUUUCCAUUGUUUAACUGCAAAACAAGAUGUUAAGAUAACAUCUUCUGAGUCAUAACCAGCCUGGCAGUAUGAUGGCCUAGAUGCAGAGAAAACAGCUCCUUGGUGAAUUGAUAAGUAAAGGCAGAAAAGAUUAUAUGUCAUACCUCCAUUGGGGAAUAAGCAUAACCCUGAGAUUCUUACUACUGAUGAGAACAUUAUCUGCAUAUGCCAAAAAAUUUUAAGCAAAUGAAAGCUACCAAUUUAAAGUUACGGAAUCUACCAUUUUAAAGUUAAUUGCUUGUCAAGCUAUAACCACAAAAAUAAUGAAUUGAUGAGAAAUACAAUGAAGAGGCAAUGUCCAUCUCAAAAUACUGCUUUUACAAAAGCAGAAUAAAAGCGAAAAGAAAUGAAAAUGUUACACUACAUUAAUCCUGGAAUAAAAGAAGCCGAAAUAAAUGAGAGAUGAGUUGGGAUCAAGUGGAUUGAGGAGGCUGUGCUGUGUGCCAAUGUUUCGUUUGCCUCAGACAGGUAUCUCUUCGUUAUCAGAAGAGUUGCUUCAUUUCAUCUGGGAGCAGAAAACAGCAGGCAGCUGUUAACAGAUAAGUUUAACUUGCAUCUGCAGUAUUGCAUGUUAGGGAUAAGUGCUUAUUUUUAAGAGCUGUGGAGUUCUUAAAUAUCAACCAUGGCACUUUCUCCUGACCCCUUCCCUAGGGGAUUUCAGGAUUGAGAAAUUUUUCCAUCGAGCCUUUUUAAAAUUGUAGGACUUGUUCCUGUGGGCUUCAGUGAUGGGAUAGUACACUUCACUCAGAGGCAUUUGCAUCUUUAAAUAAUUUCUUAAAAGCCUCUAAAGUGAUCAGUGCCUUGAUGCCAACUAAGGAAAUUUGUUUAGCAUUGAAUCUCUGAAGGCUCUAUGAAAGGAAUAGCAUGAUGUGCUGUUAGAAUCAGAUGUUACUGCUAAAAUUUACAUGUUGUGAUGUAAAUUGUGUAGAAAACCAUUAAAUCAUUCAAAAUAAUAAACUAUUUUUAUUAGAGAAUGUAUACUUUUAGAAAGCUGUCUCCUUAUUUAAAUAAAAUAGUGUUUGUCUGUAGUUCAGUGUUGGGGCAAUCUUGGGGGGGAUUCUUCUCUAAUCUUUCAGAAACUUUGUCUGCGAACACUCUUUAAUGGACCAGAUCAGGAUUUGAGCGGAAGAACGAAUGUAACUUUAAGGCAGGAAAGACAAAUUUUAUUCUUCAUAAAGUGAUGAGCAUAUAAUAAUUCCAGGCACAUGGCAAUAGAGGCCCUCUAAAUAAGGAAUAAAUAACCUCUUAGACAGGUGGGAGAUUAUGAUCAGAGUAAAAGGUAAUUACACAUUUUAUUUCCAGAAAGUCAGGGGUCUAUAAAUUGACAGUGAUUAGAGUAAUACUUUUUCACAUUUCCAAAGUUUGCAUGUUAACUUUAAAUGCUUACAAUCUUAGAGUGGUAGGCAAUGUUUUACACUAUUGACCUUAUAUAGGGAAGGGAGGGGGUGCCUGUGGGGUUUUAAAGAAUUUUCCUUUGCAGAGGCAUUUCAUCCUUCAUGAAGCCAUUCAGGAUUUUGAAUUGCAUAUGAGUGCUUGGCUCUUCCUUCUGUUCUAGUGAGUGUAUGAGACCUUGCAGUGAGUUUAUCAGCAUACUCAAAAUUUUUUUCCUGGAAUUUGGAGGGAUGGGAGGAGGGGGUGGGGCUUACUUGUUGUAGCUUUUUUUUUUUUUACAGACUUCACAGAGAAUGCAGUUGUCUUGACUUCAGGUCUGUCUGUUCUGUUGGCAAGUAAAUGCAGUACUGUUCUGAUCCCGCUGCUAUUAGAAUGCAUUGUGAAACGACUGGAGUAUGAUUAAAAGUUGUGUUCCCCAAUGCUUGGAGUAGUGAUUGUUGAAGGAAAAA